Crenichthys baileyi (White River springfish) is the source of this 95-nucleotide non-coding RNA. NCBI's taxonomy places the organism in Eukaryota, Metazoa, Chordata, Actinopteri, Cyprinodontiformes, Goodeidae. The record is from the annotation of a GenBank genome assembly.
UGCACGGUGUUACAGUUGGUAGCACUGUUGCCUUGCAGUAAGAAGGUCCUGGGUUCAAUUCCUGGGUUCAAUUCCCGGCGGGGGUCUUUCUGCAU